GUCGUUUCUCCAGCAUCUUCUUGCUGUUUGUCAUCUGUCCUGUGUCUGUCCGCUGGCCGUUUGUCUUAUGUUUAAUCUGUCUGAGUGUUGUGUGCGGGCCCUUUUCUUGUUCCCAUAACCGCUCUUCUUUCAUCAGGACUCCUUCGCUCCACCGACAUCAGAGACAAGGAAGCGCUACAGAGAUCUCUACCUGGACCCCUUUAACUUGCUUUCUUAACAAUUCUCAGGACUUUGUCUGUUGGUUUGUUUUUGUUUGUUUCCUUUGCGUUCUGUGUUAAUUUCUACCUCAGUUUGUUUCUAAUGGAAAAAAAUGGUUAAAACGGUUUUAACUGUGCUCACUACAGCUUGCAUUAAAAUGUAAAGUGCUGUCAACAGGACUAAAAGAAUUGUCAAAAGUAAAAGCUAAAGGUAAAAAGAAAAAGGCAUUCUAGAGAUUGCCUUCAUUUAGGAGCUGGGCCAGGUGGCCAACUGGGUAAAUCAUGUCACUUCCUAUAGAGGACAGAUUAAAACUAAAGUGUUUUAUAAAAUUAUCAUUCCUAUAUUGUAUAACAAAAAACAUAAUUUUGUCUAGGAAAUUGGGCUUUUGUCUCUCAGUAUUUACAAGCAUGAAUAACUCCCAACUAUUAAAAAAUGGUCUAAAGAUUUUUCAAUGUCAGGCUAAAAGUUGGUGGCCGCUAUCCAAGAAACCAGAAAAACCAGUUUAGAAUGGAACCCCAACCUGGGGGACUCUCCCAAGGAGACCAAUGAAGCUGCGUCUUUGGGAAGUUCCUCCGGGGAAAAAUAAGCCCCCUUCGUUUGUCUAUGUUCCCUUGACUCUUUUCAGCUUUCAUGAACAGGACCACCUCAGGAAAAAGGUCAGAAAACUUUUAAAAUUCUAUAUUUGUUAAACUCAUAGUUUUGAUCCAAUAUGCCUAGGUUAAUAUGUUUUUCUGAUGACACUCUGCUUUAUUCUGAGGCCAAUUUACAAGGGUUAACUCUCAAUCUAAUAAGUUUUAAAAAAUAAGCUACAAGGCUUUUGUUUGUCUGUUUGCUUUGUGUGGGUGCACCAGUGUACUGUCUGUCUAUAUGUAUUGCCAUGUCUACACGUAUUUGAUACAAAAAAAUUGACAUAUGAGCUCAUAAAUUAAAAUUUUAAAAAUGGAUCCAAAUACUUUUGGUUAAUAUGAUUUAAAAGGUUCAAUUCAAAUUGAGAAAAUAGAUAAAAGUACAAAUGUCUUUAAAGUUACUAAUGCACAGUUUUGUUUCUAGAUGGUUAAACGGCUGUUAAAAUGUUAAUGUCUAUAAUGUGUCUGAUAUCCAUUGUCUCUAGGAUUUUUAUUCAACAACAACAACAAAAAGAUUACUAAUACUAUUCAAUACACUUGUGUGAUACCUUGUUUUUAAAAAAAGAUGUAAAUUUCAUCUAAACGUAUAUGAAAUUAAUCAUGGAUUUGUUUGUUAGAGACAUCUAAUUGGAUUACAAAGUUAAAAUGCUGACUGUUAAAUAUAAUAUCAAGUGCUUUUAACUCCUUAAAUUCCAUAAGGUAAAAUACUUAAACAAUGUUGGUGUUUUCAUAAUUGGUAAACUAAAAAGGAAAUUUGUAAUCAUUUUGUGUUAUUAUAAAAACAAGGUUACUCUAAAUUACAAAGUCCCAACAGAUAUAAUUCUACAUACAAGGAGUCAAGAGGUUUCAACUGUAUUUCAAUUAAAGUACUGUAAGUAACAAAUAUUUCAUCUUAUUAAAAUAGAUCAAUUUAUCUAAAUUCAAAAAUUCAUAAGGGUUAUUUCAAGAUACAAACAAAAAAGGGUCAAUGGAUUAAAAAUUAUUAAAAAGUUCUAAAUAUAAAAAUAUAUUUAAUAAAAAACAUUUCCAGGUAAAAAGUCUUUAUGUGGUAAAGUAUAAUUAUAAUACAUCUAAGUAAACAACAAAUGGGUCUAAUUAAGUAAUAUAAAUGUCUAUAAAUAAAAGACAAAUAUUAAAAGGUUUAUAUGUAACUAAGUUGGUUAUAUAUGUAACACAAAUAGUUAAAACUAUUCAAGGUUGUUCCCCAAGGACAAAUAAUAAUGUACUGAUAUAUGUUUAUAUGUUAAAAUGACAAGAACUUCUAAAAAUAUUAAUUACAUUAUGUCUGUUAAGUUUUAUCCCCUAGAACAAGUAAUCUUGGAGAAAUUAAGGUUUGUACAUCUGUGGCUAAACAACAACUGUUAUUUUAAAGUAUUGUCCUACAUUACAAAUUUCUAGAUUUUCCUUUAAAAGCUAACCUUGGUUAAUAUAAAAGCAUCAAUAAAAGUGUGGUACAUUACUCUUCUUUACAGAUUAAAUGUGUUCAUAUCUUUCAGGUUCACAAGUCUUUAAGGUAAAAGGUUUAAAGAAACAUUUUAUCAAGCGAGUAUUCUCC
This 2379-nucleotide long non-coding RNA is filed under the name Marmota monax (woodchuck). Lineage: Eukaryota; Metazoa; Chordata; Mammalia; Rodentia; Sciuridae. The record is from RNAcentral.